AUAAUUCCUGCCCUUCGGUCCUUGGCAUCUGCUACUUACAAGAAGCUCUGAAAUUGCUGAUAAUAAGAUAAGAUUUGUGAUGCUGAUCUUUAGCUUUAUAGGAAUGAAUCCUAUUCCCUCCUCCAUAGCUUGAAAGCUUUUCUUUUCUUUUCUUUUGUGUAAAUAUAUAUAUAUGCUUGGCUUGAUUCUUGUGCUUUGAAGGGAAGAAGAAUUAUGAAGGACUGGGCUGCUCCUCUGAUAGCGGCGGCGCUGUUUGCGUUUCUGUCGCCGGGAUUGGUGUUUCAGAUUCCAGGGAAAGAAGGACCUUUUGAGUUCAUGAAAAUGAAGACUAGCUUAGCCUCCAUAUUCGUCCACAUGGUUAUCUAUGGUUUGCUUCUUAUUUUGUUUUUUGUUGUUCUUCACAUCCAUCUCUAUGUCUAGCUAUCUACUAUUGUAGUUGGGUUAAUUUUUCUUCUUCUCCUUUGUUGAAUACACAGAAUUCCUUCGAUACAUGUUUCUUGAUUUGCUUCUUUAUGCUUUUUAACUGGGUUUAAUCUGUUGGCUAAAUCACUUGAUUAAUAUACUCAGUUCAAGUCUUCAUUCCUCUGAUUCUAAAAAAAAAAAAAAAAUUAUCAGGUAAUUCCUGCUCAGUAGAGAUUUAUUUGCACAUAAUUGUGUUAAUUUUUUAAAAAAUUUAUUUUAGACCGUUUAAAAAUUAUGAUCACAUCAUUCUUUUAUUUUGUUUCUCAUUCUAAAUAUACUAAAACCACAAAGUAUACUUAGUUGAUAUUAAUAUAUUUUAUUUUUAAAAUUAAAAUUAAAUAAUAAAAAAUUAAUUAUUUUAUUACAUAAAAAAUAUUUUCUAAAUACAACAUAUUUUUGAAAAACAAACAGAGGCUUAUUUUCAUCUCUAAAAGAAAUAAUAAUAAUUCUAUUAAACUACCUAGCUAAAUGAAAUAGAAGAAUUUGCAAUUUAAUUUAAAUUUAUACAGAUCAAGUUACAAAAUAAUUACUUCUUACUUAAAUUUAAGAUGAAAAAUUGUAAAAAGUAUAUAAACUUUAAAAAUUAUGACUUGAUAUAUAUAAUAUUAGAGCAAAUUGACAGUAGCAGUUGAGAGAGAAAUCCUCAGAAUUGUAGAGGAGGCAGGCUAUGGCUAUGAACCAAAGUACAUGUGGACUUCAACAGCUAACAAGAAGAUGCUAAUGAGAGCAAAGUAAAAGAUAGAGUGAACCAGUAUGGAAAUUCCACUUGUUUCAAAAUUUCCGAACUCGAUGAAUCUGUGACCACUGGUACCUGAAUCAGCAAACCUGGAGUUAAAAUUAUAAAUAGCACAACAGUAACGAACACAGCUCCCCAAUCCGACAUCGUUCCGCUCUUGUCGGAUCUCAGCUGCUUGUGAUCACUCUGAGCUGAUCAAUAAUUGAAAAUGGAUUUGACUGGGAGAGAGAUGAGAUUAUAAGUUGAGGUGAAAGUGUUUGUUGAAAAGCCAAUAUUAGAAAAUGAAGCAAUUCCAAUUGGGAUUCAUUUUCAUAUGCCGCUACGCCACAAAGGAAACUUCCGCGUAAAUACCCAUUGGUAGGCUAAAAUGAGUACAACAUCUCAUAUCUGGUUUGCUCAAAAGCAACUCCCCUCCUUUUUUCUUCAUUCAAUUAAAAUAAUUAUAUAAAUUUACACAUUUUAUAAUAGUCAUUGGUCGUGUUAAAUCUCAUUAUUAUCAAUAAUUAGUAUCAAUCCG
Molecule: long non-coding RNA, 1715 nt
Filed under: Manihot esculenta (cassava)
Lineage: Eukaryota; Viridiplantae; Streptophyta; Magnoliopsida; Malpighiales; Euphorbiaceae
Description: long non-coding RNA (MESC_LNC010475)
Source: RNAcentral